Long non-coding RNA from Mus musculus (house mouse), 335 nucleotides. RefSeq annotates it as predicted gene, 53771. Lineage: Eukaryota; Metazoa; Chordata; Mammalia; Rodentia; Muridae. The transcript is spliced from 3 exons. The record is from RefSeq and is a predicted model, not a curated record.
UUACAUCGAACAGCACCACCUGCUGGUUGAAAUCCCCUCUGCAGUGAGGGUCACCACCUGCCUCUUUCUUCUUCUGCUGUCUACAGAACACAGUCUACGAACACACUGAGAGAACCAGCUGAUGAGCCUUUAACAUAAUAUUCUAACUUAUUAAAGAACACCAUUCACUCUUCACACACUAGCCUGUCUCACGUGUCACUCAAGGCAGACAAAUGACAAUAUCAUGGUAACAGGUUGCUGUACAUCAUCAAGGCAAACCAAGCAACCAAGAUAGAAAUCUGAAGACUUUCAUGAAUUCAUUGUUUUUAAUUGUUGAGUAGGACUCCAUUGUGUAA